RNAcentral lists this ribosomal RNA (255 nucleotides) under uncultured bacterium. RNAcentral describes it as "partial 16S ribosomal RNA". It matches the Rfam family "Bacterial small subunit ribosomal RNA", at positions 527 to 779 of the family's 1533-position model. The record is from RNAcentral.
CGGAGGGGCUAGCGUUGUUCGGAAUUACUGGGGCGUAAAGCGCACGUAGGCGGCUUUGUAAGUUAGAGGUGAAAGCCCGGAGCUCAACUUCGGAAUUGCCUUUAAGACUGCAUCGCUUGAAUCAUGGAGAGGUCAGUGGAAUUCCGAGUGUAGAGGUGAAAUUCGUAGAUAUUCGGAAGAACACCAGUGGCGAAGGCGACUGACUGGACAUGUAUUGACGCUGAGGUGCGAAAGCGUGGGGGAGCAAACAGGAUU